CACCAUCCUUACCAUGAAAGAGAAGAGGUUGUGAUUCCUCACUCUGUGUGAUGGUGCUGAUGCUGCUUCUUUAAUAGAUAAUAGAGACGUGCACAGAUACUGAUGCUCAUGUUCACCUCAGAUGGCCAUCCGAACAAGCUUAGUUCAGCCAGCAGAACCAACAGGAAGUCAAUAACAGUUUAAAAUCCUGAAAGUGGAAAAUGAAGCCAAGUUAGAAAUUGCAAGAAUAGAAUGAUGGCAUCAAACAGGAGAAAGAGGAUUAUAGUCAACCUAACCCAGAAAGAGGAAACUAACCUUCAGACAUAUGUGGGAAAUAAUUAUCUAAUCCAUAUUGUAACAUGGGAUCGGGGAUUGUUUAACAAGAAAAGUUCAUGCAAAUGUCAUGCUGCUCCAGUCUCAGAAGAUGAAUGUGAUAAGAAGUGUGUUUCAAGAAGAGUAUUUACAUCAGUCAUCCAGAAAUUUGUUUACUCUAGUCUGAAAUCUAUGCCAAGUUAUUGCAAACAUUUUUAGGAUUUGUGUUAUGCAAUUCCAGAAGGGCUGCUUAUGUUAUGGGCAUGUAUUCUGGUCUUUGAUCUGUGCUACAGAAAUUAAAGCAGUUCCACAGAUGCCAUAGGAAUAGAGAGGCAUGCUGCGAGUUUCCAAAUAUUCUUAGAUUUCUGAGAGUGAUAUAAAUGAAAAUAGAGGCUCCUUUCAGUCUGUCAGUCAUUUACACUAAUUCUAGGACUGAAUUCUGUUUAGAUAUUAAAUUUUAAAAAAUGGCAUAUGGUUAAAAUUAGUGGAUGAGGGCUCCUGGGAGUUUAGUACUAAAAUUAGAGAAAGGUGUGAGUAUCAGCAGAGGGAAAAUAGAAAUAUUAUAGAAAAUUUUCUCUCUGUUGAUACUCGCACCUUCUUGUCAACUGUUGAGAACAGGCUAUUUCCACCUUAAUUGAAUUGGCCUCGUUAGCACUGACCUCCCCACUUGGUAAGGCAACUCCCAUCUUUUCAUAUAUAUACUGCUUACUGUAUUUUUCACUCCAUGCAUCUGAUGAAGCGGGUUUUAGCCCAUGAAAGCUUAUGCCCAAAUAAAUUUGUUAGUCUCUAAGGUGCCACAAGGACUCCUUGUUCUUUUAACUUUACAACUGUAAUCUUCGUUUUCCUCAAUGGGCUGUUGCUUUCAGUGAUUGCCUCACAUCUACCAUUCAGAUGUAAGAUCUUCAAGGUAGGGACCAUGUCUAUGUGGUCUGUAAUGCAUCUGGCACAGUCUGGAUGCUGUAUAAAUAACGCUAGUACAGAUGACUCACUCCUACAAAACACAACUUAAACAACUGAGUGUGCUUUAUCUGUGAAUGAAAGCCUUUACAGUCAACAAAUCAGUAUGCUAUUGCACACUAAUGAAAAUAGGCCCAACCUCACAGAAAUUCACCUUUGCAGCUGUUAGCCCCUGGGAGCUUUCCAGACCUCCUGAGCUCCACAGCUCCCUACUGUGACCAUGACAUCUGCCUGCUCCCUUUGCACCUGUUUAAUAAUGAAUUAGGCAUUCCACACAGCCACAUUUUUCAAGGUGUCCAAUAUCGUCCGCAUUCCCCGGAGUCUAGAGAAUGAAUGGAAACUCCAUUGAGCAUGCUCAUGGAAUUCUGUAUGUGUCUAUAGGUGCUAUAUAAAUGCUAUUAAAUGACAACAUUACCAAAAAAAAGCCCAUAAAUCUUCACAGAGGGUUUUUAUUCCCUUUGACUGCUCUUUAAGAAUGUAGCAAGGCAGAAGUGUGCUUACAAAUAAACAGAUUUGAAUAUGAGCAAUUUGUGUCAUUGGCAAUAAUCGAUUUUUGCUCAUACAAACCUGCAUAAU
Molecule: long non-coding RNA, 1824 nt
Organism: Gopherus flavomarginatus (Mexican gopher tortoise)
Lineage: Eukaryota; Metazoa; Chordata; Testudines; Testudinidae
Exons: 3
Source: RefSeq, a predicted model, not a curated record